RNAcentral lists this ribosomal RNA (834 nucleotides) under Triticum aestivum (bread wheat). RNAcentral describes it as "partial small subunit ribosomal RNA". Lineage: Eukaryota; Viridiplantae; Streptophyta; Magnoliopsida; Poales; Poaceae. The record is from RNAcentral.
AUGCCGGAGAAGCCUCCGCCGCUCGGGCGCCGUCCGACGGCCGCGGCGAGCUGGGUCCGGUCCCUCCACUGCAAGUCCAUGGCGGCUGACGACGUCGCGGCACUGCCAAAGAAGUCGCACCUCCUGCUCCGGUCGAGCUGCGCCAGCUCCGGCGACGCCCAAAGGGACGUCUCCUCGUGCAAGCCCAAGCUCAAGUCGAGCUCGAAGACUAGUUCGGCGACCAAGAAGCCCAAGGCGGCGAAGCCGACGUCCGUGCCGCCGUCGCCUCCUCCCGGCCCGCUCGGCCCGCUGCCGGCGCUGACGGAGCUCCCGGCGGGGCACUCCUCGCGGCAGGUGGUCGAGAUCAUCUUUCUCUCGUCGUGGUCUCCUCUCCCGCCGGCGCCGGCCGGCGCUGCGGGCGGCGCGUUCGCGGGGGAGGUGGAGAUGCUGUUCCGCGUCCACAACCAGGCGCGCGCCGUGGCGCGCUUCGAGGACUACCGCGCCGCCGUGCGCGCGCGGGCCGGCGGCGCCUCCCGCAGCGCCGCCGACGGCAACGAGAUGAUGCGCUUCUCCCCGGCCCCGCCGCACGGGUGCUCCUCCUCCUCGGACAGCGCGUCCCUGCGCGUCGUCCGGACCUUCGACGGCAGCGGCGGCGCGCACGCCAGCGGGCGCGGGCCGGAGACCGGCCGGCGGGCCAUGUUCCUGUGCAGGGUGAUCGCCGGGCGGGUGGCGGAGGGGCCAUGCUCCGAGGCCGCCGCCAAGGAGUACGACUCCGUCCGCGGCGGCAAGGGCGAGCUGGUGGUGUUCGACCGGCGGGCCGUGCUCCCAUGCUUCCUCAUCAUCUACAAGCUGUAA